GAUGAAGAACGCAGCGAAAUGCGAUAAGUAAUGUGAAUUGCAGAAUUCAGUGAAUCAUCGAAUCUUUGAACGCACAUUGCGCCCCCUGGUAUUCCGGGGGGCAUGCCUGUUCGAGCGUCAUUUCACCACUCAAGCCUCGCUUGGUAUUGGGCAACGCGGUCCGCCGCGUGCCUCAGAUCGACCGGCUGGGUCUUCUGUCCCCUAAGCGUUGUGGAAACUUUCGCUAAAGGGUGUUCGGGAGGCUACGCCGUAAAACAACCCCAUUUCUAAGGUUGACCUCGGAUCAGGUAGGGAUACCCGCUGAACUUAAGCAUAUCAAUAAGCGGAGGA
Molecule: unclassified non-coding RNA, 330 nt
Filed under: soil metagenome
Description: partial contains 5.8S ribosomal RNA, internal transcribed spacer 2, and large subunit ribosomal RNA
Rfam family: 5.8S ribosomal RNA (bases 1-120)
Source: RNAcentral